RNAcentral lists this ribosomal RNA (494 nucleotides) under uncultured bacterium. RNAcentral's name for it is "partial 16S ribosomal RNA". It matches the Rfam family "Bacterial small subunit ribosomal RNA", at positions 28 to 507 of the family's 1533-position model. The record is from RNAcentral.
GACGAACGCUGGCGGCGUGCUUAACACAUGCAAGUCGAACGGAAAGGCCUGCUUUCCCUUGUGGAUUGCGGGUACUCGAGUGGCGAACGGGUGAGUAACACGUGAGUGAUCUGCCCCCAACUUGGGUAUAAGCCUGGGAAACUGGGUCUAAUUCCCGAUAGGACUGCAGGGUGGUGCCUGUGGUGGAAAACGAUUUUCUAGUGGUUGGGGAUGAGCUCGCGGCCUAUCAGCUUGUUGGUGGGGUAAUGGCCUACCAAGGCGGCGACGGGUAGCCGGCCUGAGAGGGUGGACGGCGACAUUGGGACUGGGAUACGGCCCAGACUGCUACGGGAGGCAGCAGUGGGGAAGAUUGCACAAUGGGCGGAAGCCUGAUGCAGCGACGCCGCGUGGGGGAUGACGGCCUUCGGGUUGUAAACUCCUUUCGACCGCGAGGAAGCCACCUGGUUGGAAGGGUGGUGACGGUAGUGGUAGAAGAAGCACCGGCUAACUACGUG